GACGAACGCUGGCGGCGUGCUUAACACAUGCAAGUCGAACGAAGAGCGAUGGAAGCUUGCUUCUAUCAAUCUUAGUGGCGAACGGGUGAGUAACGCGUAAUCAACCUGCCCUUCAGAGGGGGACAACAGUUGGAAACGACUGCUAAUACCGCAUACGAUCUAACCUCGGCAUCGAGGAUAGAUGAAAGGUGGCCUCUACAUGUAAGCUAUCACUGAAGGAGGGGAUUGCGUCUGAUUAGCUAGUUGGAGGGGUAACGGCCCACCAAGGCGAUGAUCAGUAGCCGGUCUGAGAGGAUGAACGGCCACAUUGGGACUGAGACACGGCCCAGACUCCUACGGGAGGCAGCAGUGGGGAAUCUUCCGCAAUGGACGAAAGUCUGACGGAGCAACGCCGCGUGAGUGAUGACGGCCUUCGGGUUGUAAAGCUCUGUUAAUCGGGACGAGAGGCCUUCUUGCGAAUAGUUAGAAGGAUUGACGGUACCGGAAGAGAAAGCCACGGCUAACUACGUG
RNAcentral lists this ribosomal RNA (510 nucleotides) under uncultured bacterium. RNAcentral's name for it is "partial 16S ribosomal RNA". It matches the Rfam family "Bacterial small subunit ribosomal RNA", at positions 28 to 507 of the family's 1533-position model. The record is from RNAcentral.